This 253-nucleotide ribosomal RNA is filed under the name uncultured bacterium. Its description in RNAcentral is "partial 16S ribosomal RNA". It matches the Rfam family "Bacterial small subunit ribosomal RNA", at positions 524 to 776 of the family's 1533-position model. The record is from RNAcentral.
GACGUAGGGCGCAAGCGUUGUUCGGAAUUACUGGGCGUAAAGCGCACGUAGGCGGCUUUGUAAGUUAGAGGUGAAAGCCCGGGGCUCAACUCCGGAAUUGCCUUUAAGACUGCAUCGCUAGAAUUGUGGAGAGGUAAGGGGAAUUCCGAGUGUAGAGGUGAAAUUCGUAGAUAUUCGGAAGAACACCAGUGGCGAAGGCGACUUACUGGACACAUAUUGACGCUGAGGUGCGAAAGCGUGGGGAGCAAACAGG